UAAUAAACUAUUUAAUUUAUGUAAGAGUAGGAUGUCCCUUAUAAAUUAUAAUGUGAUAAAACCAUUUGUUACAUGUUGAGGAAGGAAAUAUAGCUGAAAUUUGUAGGUUUGUUUAUGUUAUGAUUAUUUUUCUUUCCUUGUUUCUUGUUACAACGAAUGUUAAAGGUAUUUCAAAUAUUUACGGUUUUCAAAUUUCAUAUUCUUUUUUUUUUGGUCAGGUAGCCUAGUGGCUAGAAAUUCACUUUUAAAGUGAAUAAGUGGGGUGUCCGGGGUUCGAACCCCGGCCCCUGCAUAUAAUAAUGCAUUGUCCCUGCCAACUGAGCUAUGCUCACGGGGACAAAUUUCAUAUUCUUUACUUAGUACAAAUUAUUUUAUCUGAUUUUAGUUGCAUUAUGUUAUUCUCUUUUUCAUCAUUACAGCCCAAUCUCCUAGAUGUUCCGCGCCAUAUGCAAAUGUGUUCUACCAUCGGGCCUAAUAGAUUUUGUGAAUAUGAUUUUCCAUUUAGUGAAAGAUCGAUGAGAGUACACAUAAUUCUAGACUAUUUAUGAUUUAUUAUGUAUUGGUGCCUAAUAUUUCUUUUUUAUCUUUCUGAUUUCAUAAACCUUGAUGAUUGUCCAAUAUUGAAUAUAAUAAAUAAAAAGUAGCCUUUAGCACGAAAUUGCAAGUGGCAAAGUGGUUAAAGCCUAGUAAUUUAUUUCUCAGGUUGAUGGUCAUGUGUUCAAGUCCGACCCAUGCCAAUUUUCAAAACAUUUAAAAAAUAAUUGGAAGCAUGGUCAAAGGCUAACGUUGACUCGCCCGGUUUACAGAAACUAGUCGGUUCCCUUGUCGAGCGUGGUUUCUCUUCUUUCUUUGAAGGUUUUCCCAUGUUGCUUUGUAGUAUUUCUCCAUUCAUGAGUUUGUGUGAAAAUCUCAUGGGAAGAGUAUGAAUCAGCAAGCUCCAUGGGAGGUUGACAUUACACAAAGGGGAUUCACCAUUGACAACCAAAUCUCUCAAACUCAAGUUGAAUGAUUUCUUGCCAAGCCUAAAAAAAGGGAGGGACAUGCCUUCCUUGUUGCUAUCAAAUAUGAUUAGUAACCGUUGUAUUGUGCACACUACAAAAUCUUAGGCCAUGCCCUGCAAAAUGGUAAGAAAUUAAGCUCAAAGAAUUAUCAAAGCACUUAUAGGAUCAAGGUAGCUAAGAGACAUCAACCCAAUACUACUCAGACUGAUUUCACUGUUCCAGGGGGUAAGGUAGUGAAGCAAUCAUAGAUAAGUCAAAAGGUGGAUGCUCACAUCACUAGAGACACGCAGUGCUAGGACUCCUUUAUUUUGGUCAUUUAGGUUAUUGCUAGUUAAGUGUUUGAACUAUAGUUUUAUCUCUCA
Molecule: long non-coding RNA, 1363 nt
Organism: Medicago truncatula (barrel medic)
Lineage: Eukaryota; Viridiplantae; Streptophyta; Magnoliopsida; Fabales; Fabaceae
Exons: 2
Source: RefSeq, a predicted model, not a curated record